GGUGAAGUCGUAACAAGGUAGCCGUACGGGAACGUGCGGCUGGAUCACCUCCUUU
This 55-nucleotide ribosomal RNA is filed under the name bacterium. RNAcentral describes it as "partial 16S ribosomal RNA". It matches the Rfam family "Bacterial small subunit ribosomal RNA", at positions 1479 to 1533 of the family's 1533-position model. The record is from RNAcentral. RNAcentral also lists the same sequence under 2 other names.